CGUACGGGUGAGUAUUUUUGUAUUUUUUUACCUUUGAGUUUAGUUAAUAUAUUUAGAAUCUUUCUAGUUUUUAAAUAUAAAUGCUAAAUAAAUUUUUUGAAAAAAUUUUAUCAAAAACAAAAGAUAAAAAUUAUUUUAUUGCUUAAAGAUAAAAAUACAAAAGAAUUAGGUAGUUGGUAGGUUUAAGCUUACCAAGCCAAUGAUUCUUAGUUGGUCUGAGAGGAUGAUCAACCACACUGGAACUGAAGCAAGGUCCAGACUUUUUAAGGCAGCAGUGAGGAAUUUUGGACAAUGGGCGAAAGCUUGAUCCAGCAAUGUCACGUGAGAGAGUAAGGAAGGUUACAUCACUGUAAAUCUCUUUCGUCAAGUAAGAUAAUGACUUUUCUUGAAAAAGAAGCCCCGGCUAACUUCGUGCCAGCAGCCGCGGUAAUACGAAGGGGGCAAGUGUUAUUCUGUUAGAUUGGGCGUAAAGGGUUCGUAGACUAUUAAUUUAGAUCUAUUGUAAAAUCUUAAAGCUUAACUUUAAGUUUAUAUAGAUACAAAUUAAUUUGAGUUGGGCAGAGGUACAUGGUACUUUUAAUGUAAGGUUAAAAUCUUGUGAUAUUAAAAGGAACGCCAAGAUGUGAAAACAAUUAUCUUUGUGAAAACUGACGUUGAAGGACGAAAGCAUGGGUAGCAAACUGGAUAGAUACCCAGGUAGUCCAUGCUGUCAAAGAUGAGUAUUAAAUUUUUAUUUUUUAGAUAAAAAAUAGGAAAAGCUAACGUUUUAAAUACUCCGCCUGGGGAGUAUGAUCGCAAGAUUUAAACUCAAAGGAAUUGGCGGGAGUUUGUACGAGCGGUGGAGCAUGUGGUUUAAUUCGAUAAUCCGCGAGGAACCUUACC
This 882-nucleotide ribosomal RNA is filed under the name uncultured bacterium. RNAcentral's name for it is "partial 16S ribosomal RNA". It matches the Rfam family "Bacterial small subunit ribosomal RNA", at positions 99 to 975 of the family's 1533-position model. The record is from RNAcentral.